Xylona heveae TC161 is the source of this 74-nucleotide transfer RNA. It matches the Rfam family "tRNA". Rfam says of the family: Transfer RNA (tRNA) molecules are approximately 80 nucleotides in length. Their secondary structure includes four short double-helical elements and three loops (D, anti-codon, and T loops). Further hydrogen bonds mediate the characteristic L-shaped molecular structure. tRNAs have two regions of fundamental functional importance: the anti-codon, which is responsible for specific mRNA codon recognition, and the 3' end, to which the tRNAs corresponding amino acid is attached (by aminoacyl-tRNA synthetases). tRNAs cope with the degeneracy of the genetic code in two manners: having more than one tRNA (with a specific anti-codon) for a particular amino acid; and 'wobble' base-pairing, i.e. permitting non-standard base-pairing at the 3rd anti-codon position. Lineage: Eukaryota; Fungi; Ascomycota; Xylonomycetes; Xylonales; Xylonaceae. The record is from Rfam.
UCCUCUAUGGCGCAAUUGGCUAGCGCGUCCGGCUGUUAACCGGGAGGUUGGUGGUUCGAGCCCACCUGGAGGAG